CCCAGCAUCUACCAAUCUUUGACCAUCAACACUUAGAAGUAAAUGACCUGCUUCAGUGACUUCUCAUACUCCAUCACUUUCCAAAUAACAUGUAAAACCCAUAGCUCCUGCAGCAUUUGAGGAUAUAUGCCAAGCACUAUAAAGAUGUGCAGUAUGAGGAAGCAUCCUGGUUUCUCUUGCACUGGCCAAUGGAACAUUGUGGUGAGGCUGAGGGGAAGCAAAGGUCAUCUGUCUCUGGCACAGUUAUGGGCUGCAGUGGUCAUCAGACUGACCCUCAUUUACCUAGAGAUUGAGAAAUUCAAAGGCAAAUAUUUCCACAGUGAGAAAUAUAAAAUUUAGAGGGAUUUAUGGGAAACAGAAUCCUCAUGACUGGCAUUGGAAAUUCUGGCUCUGAUCUGGCUGUGGUGCUCAGCCACACUGCAAAGCAAGCCUAUUUUCUUACCUUAGCGACAACCUUCCCAAAACAUCCAUUUCUGUCAGAAUAAUGAUCAAACCCAAUGUGAAAGAAUUCACGGAAAUAGCUGCCACUUUUUAACACCGUAGCACUGUGGAGAAUGUUGAUGUCAUCUUUGCCAAAUAACACACCUUCUCAUUUCCUUUCUUUGAAGAUUCUGUGAAUAUCACUGAUAACCAGAUAUUCCUAUACAAUUAGGUAUUCCCACUUCAUGUGGAAAAAGUGACUUUGGUUGUUGUUGUUAAUGCAGCCAUCGGGAGCUGUAAUGCCAACAAGGAAAUUCCAAACUCUCUGGGCCACCUGAGUGUUAAAAG
Molecule: long non-coding RNA, 768 nt
Filed under: Homo sapiens (human)
Lineage: Eukaryota; Metazoa; Chordata; Mammalia; Primates; Hominidae
Description: non-protein coding lnc-POGK-5:1
Source: RNAcentral